GACGUAGGGCGCAAGCGUUGUCCGGAUUUAUUGGGCGUAAAGAGCGUGUAGGCGGCUUGUUAAGUCUUGCGUGAAAUCUCGGGGCUCAACCCCGAGCGGUCGUGAGAAACUGGCAGGCUAGAGUGCGGGAGAGGAGAGUGGAAUUCCUGGUGUAGCGGUGAAAUGCGCAGAUAUCAGGAAGAACACCCGUGGCGAAGGCGGCUCUCUGGAACGCAACUGACGCUGAGACGCGAAAGCGUGGGGAGCAAACAGG
Molecule: ribosomal RNA, 253 nt
Filed under: uncultured bacterium
Lineage: Bacteria
Description: partial 16S ribosomal RNA
Rfam family: Bacterial small subunit ribosomal RNA
Source: RNAcentral